RNAcentral lists this ribosomal RNA (336 nucleotides) under uncultured Polymyxa. RNAcentral describes it as "SSU rRNA". The stretch from base 124 to 336 matches the Rfam family "Eukaryotic small subunit ribosomal RNA", at positions 744 to 955 of the family's 1831-position model. The record is from RNAcentral. Lineage: Eukaryota; Endomyxa; Phytomyxea; Plasmodiophorida; Plasmodiophoridae.
GACUUGUGUGCGCCGGAUGCGGCGAUCUGCGGCCAAAAGGUCGUUGCGAUCAGCCCGUCCUGGCGCCGUAAAAUUUGCAACUGAGUCGCCUCUGGUCUUAAUUGGUCGGUGGCGUCUGCUCGGUUGCUCGUUUACUGUGAGAAAAUUGGAGUGUUCAAGGCAGGCAUGAUUGCAAUUGAACAUGUUAGCAUGGAAUAAUGAGAUAGGGCUCGCGCUUUAUUUUGUUGGUUUCUAGAGUGGGAGUAAUGAUUGAUAGGGACAGUUGGGGGUGCUAGUAUUCAGCGGCCAGAGGUGAAAUUCAUGGAUUCGCUGAAGACUAACUUAUGCGAAAGCAUU